AACACAUGCAAGUCGAACGGUAACAGGUCUUCGGACGCUGACGAGUGGCGAACGGGUGAGUAAUACAUCGGAACGUGCCCAGUCGUGGGGGAUAACUACUCGAAAGAGUAGCUAAUACCGCAUACGAUCUGAGGAUGAAAGCGGGGGACCUUCGGGCCUCGCGCGAUUGGAGCGGCCGAUGGCAGAUUAGGUAGUUGGUGGGAUAAAAGCUUACCAAGCCGACGAUCUGUAGCUGGUCUGAGAGGACGACCAGCCACACUGGGACUGAGACACGGCCCAGACUCCUACGGGAGGCAGCAGUGGGGAAUUUUGGACAAUGGGCGAAAGCCUGAUCCAGCAAUGCCGCGUGCAGGAUGAAGGCCUUCGGGUUGUAAACUGCCUUUGUACGGAACGAAAAAGCUUCUCCUAAUACGAGAGGCCCAUGACGGUACCGUAAGAAUAAGCACCGGCUAACUACGUGCCAGCCGCCGCGGUAAUAC
RNAcentral lists this ribosomal RNA (479 nucleotides) under uncultured bacterium. RNAcentral describes it as "bacterial SSU rRNA". It matches the Rfam family "Bacterial small subunit ribosomal RNA", at positions 50 to 526 of the family's 1533-position model. The record is from RNAcentral.